Molecule: small nucleolar RNA, 109 nt
Filed under: Pachysolen tannophilus NRRL Y-2460
Lineage: Eukaryota; Fungi; Ascomycota; Pichiomycetes; Alaninales; Pachysolenaceae
Description: Small nucleolar RNA snR87
Rfam family: Small nucleolar RNA snR87
Source: Rfam by way of RNAcentral
UCUCUUUUAUGAUGAUAUAAUUUGCGAUCAAGGGUGGAAUAACGGAAACAACGCCUAGUUUCAUUCAACGUUUUUCUAUGGCAUGCGAAAAUAUAAUUAUAGUCUGAAC